GGGGAAUUUUGGACAAUGGGGGCAACCCUGAUCCAGCCAUGCCGCGUGAGUGAAGAAGGCCUUCGGGUUGUAAAGCUCUUUCGGCGGGGAAGAAAUGGCAACGGCUAAUAUCCGUUGUUGAUGACGGUACCCGCAUAAGAAGCACCGGCUAACUACGUGCCAGCAGCCGCGGUAAUACGUAGGGUGCGAGCGUUAAUCGGAAUUACUGGGCGUAAAGCGUGCGCAGGCGGUUUCGUAAGACAGACGUGAAAUCCCCGGGCUCAACCUGGGAACUGCGUUUGUGACUGCGAGGCUAGAGUACGGCAGAGGGGGGUAGAAUUCCACGUGUAGCAGUGAAAUGCGUAGAGAUGUGGAGGAAUACCGAUGGCGAAGGCAGCCCCCUGGGUUAGUACUGACGCUCAUGCACGAAAGCGUGGGGAGCAAACA
Molecule: ribosomal RNA, 426 nt
Filed under: uncultured Azospira sp.
Lineage: Bacteria; Pseudomonadati; Pseudomonadota; Betaproteobacteria; Rhodocyclales; Rhodocyclaceae
Description: bacterial SSU rRNA
Rfam family: Bacterial small subunit ribosomal RNA
Source: RNAcentral